Molecule: RNA transcript, 3621 nt
Organism: Vidua macroura (Pin-tailed whydah)
Lineage: Eukaryota; Metazoa; Chordata; Aves; Passeriformes; Viduidae
Gene: ADAM15
Gene name: ADAM metallopeptidase domain 15
Exons: 29
Source: RefSeq, a predicted model, not a curated record
ACGGGGGCGAUGGGGCCGCGGCUGCUGCUCGCCGCGGGGCUGCUGCUCGCCGCUGGCACCGGCAGCGCUGCAGGUGACAGCUCGCAGCAGCAGCGCAGUGAGGAAUUAGGACACUCCUGGUCUGUGACCCCGUGGGUCCUGUGGGAUAACCGGACACUCAGCUUGGCAGAAGCCACCCAGGGGGGGUUCCCCGCCCGUCUGACGGUCCUGCUGGAGCUGGAGGGGAUGCGGCUGCUGCUGGAGCUGGAGCAAAACUGGGAGCUGGUGCAGGGCACUGGGGCGCUGCUCUAUUACCUGCCCGACGGCACACAGGUGAUCCAGGAGCCCAGACAGCAGGAGCACUGCUGCUACCAGGGGACAGUGCGGGGCUUCCCCGGCUCCUGGGCCAACCUCUGUGCCUGCGCUGGACUCAGCGGCCGCCUCUGGCUGUCGGACACCAGGAGCUACACGCUGGAGCCGGACACCAGCAGCCCCCCAGGGCAGCACAUGGCAUCCCACCUUCGGCUGGACCCACAGAGCUGCAGGCAGGGCCCCCACCCUGGGCCAGAGGCAACAGAGCCCCCCUGGCCGCAGAGGGACAAGCGGGCAGCGGCAGAGCAGCGCUUUGUGGAGCUGGUGAUGGUGGUGGACCACGCUGCGUUCCAGAAUUACCCCAGCCUACAGCGUGUUCACACCCGGACCCUGGAAAUUGCCAACCAGGUGGAUGUGUUCUUCCGCCCGCUGGGAGUGCGGGUGGCCCUGCUGGCGGUGGAGGUCUGGAGCGAGGGUGACAAGAUCGCGGUGGGCGGCAGCGCCCGGGCCGUGCUGGAGCGGUUCCUGCGCUGGCGCCGGGAGGAGCUGCUGCCCCGGCUGCCCCACGACAACGCCCAGCUCCUGACGGGUGCCCACUUCGAUGAUGUCUCAGUGGGGAUGUCCACUCAAGCCUCCGUGUGUUCCCCCACGCGCUCCGGGGGGGUCAGCAUGGACCACUCUGUCAGUGUCCUCGUCGUGGCCUCCACUGUGGCCCAUCAGCUGGGGCACAACCUGGGCAUGCGCCACGACGGCGCCGGGCGCCUCUGCGACUGCGGCGACCUCCGGCACGACCGCGGCUGCAUCAUGGCAGCGCCCACAGGGUUGACACCUGGCUUGAGCUUCAGCAACUGCAGCCGGCAGGACCUGGAGCGCAGCCUGCAGCAGGGCCAGGGCUGGUGCCUCUCCAACGUCCCCGAGCCCCAGCUCCUGACUGGGAGCCCCACCUGUGGGAACCACUUCGUAGAGCUGGGCGAGCAAUGCGACUGCGGCCUCAGCGUGGAGUGCACGGAUCCCUGCUGCAACAGCAGCUCCUGCCAGCUGAUGCCAGGGGCCGUGUGUGCCACCGAGGAUGCCUGCUGUGAGGACUGCCAGCUGCGCCGUGCUGGCCACGUGUGUCGGGAGCUGCUGGGCGAGUGCGACCUGCCCGAGUUCUGCGACGGGGUCUCGCCGCGCUGCCCCCCUGACACGUUCCUGCAGGACGGGCAGCCCUGCGCCGGCGGGCGGGCACGCUGCUACAGCGGGGCCUGUGCCACCUACGAGGGGCAGUGCCAGCAGCUGCUGGGGCCAGGUGCCAGUCCUGUCUCCAGCUCCUGCAUGGCCGCCCUGAACACAAGAGGGGAUGAACGUGGGCACUGCGGGCAGCUCCCCAAUGGCUCCUUUGUCACUUGCACCCAGCAGGACACCAGCUGUGGAAUGCUGCAGUGCCAGCGUGGCAGCUCCCGUGGGGACAGCCCAGAAGGGUUCUGCCAGGGGACCACCCUGCCCGGGGAUGAGGAUGUGACCGAUGCGGCCAUGGUGCUGCCUGGCACCACCUGUGGCCCCGGGAAGGUGUGCCUCCAGCACCGGUGCCAGAACGUCUCCAUGCUGGGUGACCAGCAGUGCCAGAGCAAAUGCCACGGGCACGGGGUGUGCAACAACCGCGGGCACUGCCACUGCGAGCGGGGCUGGGCCCCCCCAAGCUGUGACAGCCCCGGAGUGGGGGGCAGCCAGGACAGCGGCCCUGCCGGCCUUGAGCGAGGGGGAAGCGCCCUGCCCACGGCCCUGCUGCUGAGCGCGCUGCUGGGGCUGGCGCUGGCACUGGGGCUGUGCCGUGCCCGCCGUGCCGGCCUGCACAAGCGCCUCUGCCAGCUUGGGAAAGGCACCUCCUGCCAGUACAGUGCUGAGACCCGGGUGCGGUUCCUGGGUCCCGGAGCCGCAGACGGCUGGAGCGGGAUCUCGCAGCCAGAGCCGCGGUCGGGCAGCAGCCAAGGCCCCCCUGCGCGUCCCCGGCCCCCGCAGUGGCGCCAGGCCACGGAGCUGCAGGUCAUGCACGGCAGCAAGCCGGCUGCCCUCGGCUCAGCCCGGCCCGAUCCGCCCUCCCGGCCUCUCCCGCCGGACCCUGUGCCCAAGGCCCCCCCCUCGGACAGGCCGCCCCCCCCCACACGCCCGCUGCCCGCAGACCCUGCGCCGCUGAGCGCUCAGCCCCCAGGUCCAGCCAAGCCCCCCCCACCGCAGCGGCCACUGCCCUCGGACCCCCCCGGCCCUUCGGUGCCCCGCAGCGAGACCCCCCCCGGGCACCCCUAUGUCACCGUGAUCCCUGCCAGGUUCCUGCGGGACGACUACUCCAUCCAGGUGGCCAUCAAUGACUACCUGGACAUCUACUGCCCGCACUACGAGGCGGCGGUGCCCGCCGGCCGGGCAGAGACCUUCACGCUCUUCAUGGUGGAUCGGGAGGGCUAUCGCGGCUGCUACGAGACCCCCGGCGCCUUCAAGCGCUGGGAGUGCAACCGGCCCCGGGCGCCCUUCGGGCCCGUCCGAUUCUCCGAGAAGAUCCAGCGUUUCACCCCUUUCUCACUCGGCUUCGAGUUCCAGCCGGGGGAGACCUACUACUACAUCUCCGUGCCCAGCCCCGAGAGCGCCGGGCGAUGCCUGAAGCUGCGCGUCACCGUCUGCUGCCGAGGCACCACGCCAGAGCCGGUGACAGAGGUGCCGAAUUCGCAGCCCCGAGGGCGCGGGGGCCCCGACGAUGCGGCUCCUGCCCGCGGCUCCGCGGUCCCAUCGCAGCCCUGCAACCCAUGCCUGACGCUCGUGCUCCUGGCCCUGCUCUGGAUCUGACCCCGGCGCUGCCCCUGGCGGGGGGAUGGGCUCCUCUGCCCCAACGCCGCUUCCAGACUCUUCCUCACAGCCGACCCCCCCGAGCCCGUGGGGCAGCCCCAGGCCAUGACCCGCCUGCUGGACCUCCGCAAAGCCGAGCUGGGGCCGGGAGCUCCGGGCUGGAAGGGCCGUCGCUUGCCACUGGCAUCGCCGCUCGUCGGGAUUGCCACGAGUCCUCGCGCUGGGACUGCCACACCCCGGCACUGCCCCGCCGGCCACCUGCCCGGCGCUGGGGUCCCCUCAGCGAACGCCUGCUCUGCCCCACGGCCAUCACCUCAUCUCGUGCCUUUCCCCACGGACCCCCACCCCUGGGGCCCAGGGACCCCCGACCCCGGAGCGGGGCAGCAGCUCCGAUGGCGGCGUCCGCCGCUGCUGUGUCCUCCUCCAGCGAGGACACGCUGAUCUGUCUUCUGGGAAGACGCCUUCCUCCGUGCCCUCGGUUUGGUUUUAACCCUUGGUAGUGACUGAGCAAUACAA